This 1218-nucleotide long non-coding RNA is filed under the name Monodelphis domestica (gray short-tailed opossum). RNAcentral describes it as "lncRNA (ENSMODG00000042415.1)". Lineage: Eukaryota; Metazoa; Chordata; Mammalia; Didelphimorphia; Didelphidae. The record is from RNAcentral.
CCAGUGCUUGCCCUCUGAGAUUACUUUUAUUUGCACUCUCCAUGUUUUAUGUUUCAAUGUUGUUUUCCAUAUUUGAAUGGUCCUUGAGGACUAGGAUGAGUCAUAUUUUUUUUUUUGUCUUUGCUUGCAUGCUUGGCACUUAACAUCUUAUCUGGCACAUUGAACACAAUUUAAUAAAUGCUAGUUGAUUGACUAAGCAUUUUAAAAAGUUAGAAUGUUUUUCUGAAGAAUAUGGAAAUAGUUUUUGAGUGAUAAAACAUGUAUAACCCAGUGGAAUUGCUUGUCAACUGCAGGAAAGACGGAUGGAAGAGGAGAGGGAGAUAGCAUGAAUCAUGCAACCUUAGAAAAUGUAUGUGCAAAUUUAUUACUGGAAUAAAAUAAAGAAAAGAAUAAGGAUAAGAAUAUUUUUCUCAAAAUCCACUGAAUUGGUUAAUCUGUAUAUUUAUUAGUUACCAUUGUUAUUUUUAGUACUAGUGAUAUAAGAUUUACUAUAUACACAUAAACAUAAUGCCAUUUGACUCUCAUCACACCUCCCUCAAGUAAGUGUCACUGGUAUUGUGAUAUUCAGUUUACAGAUAAGGAAACUGAAUUAAGAUUUUAAAUCACUUAAUAAUGGUGACAGUCUAGUGAGUUUCUGAGAAAGGAUUCAAAUCUUAGUCUUUUCUAUCUUCAAAUCCAUUUCUUUUUACCUGUUUCUGUUUUAUUUUUUAAUGAGGAAGCUGAGAAAAUUAUAAAUAUUAACAUAUAUCUUCUAAGUAUUAGAUAAGGAAUGGAUUCUCUACUUUUAAGAUCAUAGUUCUUUCCUCAACAUUGUAUCGUCAAUGAUGUUACCCGUGAUUCAUUUAAAACAUUUUUAAAUAGUAUUUCACAAAUUGUGGCAAUAUCUUUAGGUUACUCUAGUGGUGGUAUAUUGCUUUGAAGGUAGAUGUGUGUGUGUGUGUGUGUGUGUGUGUGUGUGUGUGUGUGUGUGUGUGUGUGUGUGUGUUUUAGCUCCUCAACUUUUAAUUGCACUGGCUUGGCAAGGUCUCCAGGGAGAAAUUGACUAUUACUGCCUAGAAUUCUAUUCUAGUAACAGUGAAGGGCUGAGUCUUUCUACACCAUUCACCUUAUUUCCCAUUAAUAACUGUCCAGCCAAAUUUAGCUUUUAGGGGAAAAAUACCAAGAUAGAAUAGUAACAAUGGUUGGUACUACAUAAAAAAUUGAAGACAUUCUCUCACA